GGCCUCCUCAGUUCACUGAUUAACAGCCUCUUGCCUUCUAAAUGCAACUGAGAGUGGAGUUGCAUUUUCAUAGGAGUACAGGUCACGGCACAUUUUAUGCUUUAGACCAGCACUGUGUUUGACCAGUCUGUUAUCUUUUAACUGCAAUUUUCGUGUUCCCCACAUAUUUCAGGUAUGGACUGCAACAUUUGCAGUUCAUGGAAUUAGUCUCUCUGAGACCUUAACCAGUCAAAUUCGCACAGCCAAUCUUUACAAAAGCAGUAUUUUAUGCCCUUUGCUUGUGUCUUCAGACUCGGACUUAUCCUCUGAGUUAGGAUUUGACUCUGGCACACUACUAUGCUUAUCAGGGAGAAAAUAACCCUGAGAUUCCACCGAAUACGUGUCUGCUGUGUUACUGCUCCAAUACGGUUUUUCUCUGCCUUCUGCCAUCCGGCAACCCCCACUGGUUGCGUUUUGAGUCUGCCAUGAUGCAAUACUGUCAAUAACUGGCCUUAGUUAUAGGUAUGCGUUAUAAAAACAACAAUACAAAGUGUUGGAUUGAAAAGGAUUAGUAGAAGAGCUUGUAUUUGUUUUUUGAGAUUUGUAUGUUGGCAUCAACACAGUGUUUUAUUUUGAAAAGUAACCAGAUGUUAUAUUUGUAGCACUCCACCACCCUGUACAAAAAAUGCCUAAAUGAAUGGGAUUAGGGCUCGGUGAUAAAACAAUAACAAUAUCUAUCGAGAUAGACACGUGAUCCAUAUCAAUAGAAAACAUGUCCAAUAGAAUGUUCGAUAAUUUCACUGAACUCUGUAACCCAGGUUAAAAAUGUAUAUUAAAAAUAUUUCAUUGUGUAUUAAAAAACCGAGACAAAUGAGUUAAACUCAGUAAAUUAGUUCAUUAUAUGUAUAAAACCAGGAUGUUUGAAUUAAAAACAGUGAAAUUCAUAGUGGAAAAAUCAGUUCAUUAAAUAUAAUGUUUUGUUAAUAAUUAAAAUACCGAUGUUCACUUAAAAAGAAGAACAGAACCGUGAUUAAAAAAAAAAGUUGUGUGGAGUUUUAGUUGAAAGAGCUGAUCGGAAGACGGACUUCUCAUCCAAUCAGAGGAGAAGCUCCCACCCACUGACCCGAUCGGAGCAGGUUCAUUUCCUCUUGAAGCUGCUAGAAGGAAGAGAGGAAGCCACAUUGAGCUCGAGUCACAGAAAAAAACACACUUUGGAUGAUAAAACACUGAAAAACACGGACAAAACACGGAGAAAACUGCUGGAGAAGAUCCCCCGGACGACCAGGACCUGCGUGAGCGCAGCUGGAGGAGCCGCUCGGGAGGAGAAAGCAUCGGUCAGGUUUUUUUUGUUGGAUUCCAUUGAGAUAUGGACCUGGAGGUUGGAGCCAAUUGACGUUGAUGGCGAGCUAGACCCCGGUGGACGCUUAGAUACCGACGUCGUGGAACCUGGAUCCUUUUUUUGCACCAAUACACACGCCACCCAUACCCCAGUGAGGUGGAACUGAUAUUUCACCUAUGUGGUGCUAACUGAACUGAACACUAGAAAUUAAAGCAGCUGCAGUAUUUUAUUUUAUUUUUUAUUUUUCAUACUUACCCGGGUAGGAGUUGUCAUAAAUGUGUUAUUAAUGUGUUUUCUUCCCAUCUGCAAUAAAAAGGGAAGCAUUUUUUGUUUCUUAAAGAGAA
Molecule: long non-coding RNA, 1662 nt
Organism: Acanthopagrus latus (yellowfin seabream)
Lineage: Eukaryota; Metazoa; Chordata; Actinopteri; Spariformes; Sparidae
Exons: 2
Source: RefSeq, a predicted model, not a curated record